UAUGUUACAUUUAGUACUUUGUCUUUGAGAUUGAAUGGAAAUAUUUGGGCAACAACACACUACUGAAAGUAUUGCAGGAGGAGUACCCAGGGCCUAAUCAGUAAUAGGGCUAAUCAGUCAUCAUCUUCAGCUUCCAUUUCUCCACUGUCCACUGCCACUCGGAAUGCCAUUAUGCCACUAUUAUGCCAGGAAUGGAAGCAGAUCACGUGACUCCAUCUUGGGAGUACGUGAAGGAAGAGAAGAAUAAAGUGUCGCUGGACUGCUGAGCCCUAAAUUAUAAUAUUAAAAUAAAAUCAAUCAAACCUGUCUAUUCCGGACACCUUGGGACCCAAUACAACUGUCCUUAUUAAAGAAGUGUCCUUAUUUCAGAGGUUUUUAAAUACACAUUUAUAUUGUAUUGGGACUGAUACUACCUGUCCUGAUUAUAGAGGUAGGCCCUUGACUGUAGUGUGUUUUUCAGUUCUAAUGCAUGCUGGUUAUUUUGUCACUUCAUCUACACCUUCACCUUUAAUUUAACAACUCACCGUACUUUCUCUCUUCUCUCUAUUUCUAUAGGUUUAAAAUGGCAGCUAUUAAUGAUAGCCACACUCAAUUGAAACCUGGUACCAUGCACAUGUAUAGCUAAAUAUAACUUCAUUGGCUCACAUCCUCUUGUCUCUUCCUUCCUGAUGGGUGUUUGUUGACUGCACGACAUUUCCUGCGAUGAACCUCUGUUGCAUUGAUAUUACCCUUGAAGGUAGU
This 741-nucleotide long non-coding RNA is filed under the name Amphimedon queenslandica. RNAcentral describes it as "uncharacterized LOC109583219, transcript variant X1". The record is from RNAcentral. Lineage: Eukaryota; Metazoa; Porifera; Demospongiae; Haplosclerida; Niphatidae.